UUGUCUGGCCUCUCAACAGGUACCACUCCGUUGUGGUUGUACCUACGGUACAGUUAUCUGUAUCGCUGAGGCACGCAAGCCUCCCCACCGAUGCAAGGUCCAUGGUUCAUGGGAGAAGGGUAAUGAAGUCAUGUAAAAUAAUCUGGAAGUAAUUACUAAAAAUACCAGUUUCAUAAGAUUAUGAUUAGUGAGAAGUUGUAAGUACACUUUACAGAAUUAGACAGCAGUAGCGUCUUCUGCCUCUUAAUGUGCAACUUGACUCGUUCCAUAUCCUGGAAGACUCUCCUUCAUGGCGAAAUUUAUGGAACACAAUGUGAGCAUGAAUGAGUGAGAGAGAAUGUGAGUGAGUGAGUGACUAUCCUUUCUGCUGACUUUUGGUCUUGUCUCUGCUUUUACUAAAUUUUCUGGCAUGUUCUCUACUUACAGGUAUCCACAGGGGAGAAAGAGGCAGUCACACUGUCCAGCAUAAUAGACAGCAAAGAAGAACCAAUAUUAACCUACCAGCAACCAGAAACUGAACAGAUCUGCAUUAAAGAAGAAAAUGUUGUGUGACAAAAAGAUCCUGUGACAGGCUGAAAACCUGUUACGAAAAUAUGAAAAGAAGACUUCAGAAAGAUCUUGCAGAAGAAGAGGUGGAAGUGUAUAAAACAGGUUGGGGGGAAGCCUACCCAAAAAACCAACAAAUGCAUAUGAUUCUGAUGCACAGUUUAGUAUGACUGUGGAUGUUGUUAACAUAGAGUGCAGUGCUGUGCAGUGAGAACACACCAUCUGCUUCAGUUGUCGAGUUAGCAGAGUGCACACAACCUAGCACUUCCCACACACCUGACGUAAUACACAGUAAAGAGACAUCAAAGAAUGUUCUGGUGGCUGUCACCCAGCUGCAGACUGUUUCACAGUCUCCUGAUCCACCCAAAGAAAACAUUUUCACAUCGAAAAAUACAUGGCAUCAUCGCAGGAUGCCUGCAAAACCGGGGCCAUCAGGUUCGGGAACAGUAAUUGAAAAUGUGUGCAAGAAGAGAGUGGAACUACUGGAGGCCCAAUUACACAUAAUGAAGGCUGAACAUAAGAAGGAGCUGAGGAUUAAAAAUUUAAAGAUUCUGGCCCUAAAAGAAAAACUAAAAUAUUGGAAGAAGAAAAAUGCCAGUAACAUGAUUUUUUUCCUAUGAUAGUGAAUUUUUGUAAUUUUUUCUGCUGUUUUGUAUUCUAGCUAAUGUAUCAAAGUUAUCUCACAGGUGAAACUGUUUCUGUGUUUGUCCCAUUAGUGAUGACUGCUACUAUCCUAAUUAUUGUCUGUCUAAUAUCUGCUUAUAGCUUACUUGGUCUGGACUAAUUUUCAUCUAAUCACUUGAAAUUAGAAUUACUUCAUAAAUAAAAACAGGUUAGCGAUACUGCUGUGUGUGCCAUUUUUCUAGCAAUACUCUGCAC
Long non-coding RNA from Schistocerca americana (American grasshopper), 1425 nucleotides. RefSeq lists it as uncharacterized. The record is from RefSeq and is a predicted model, not a curated record. The transcript is spliced from 3 exons. NCBI's taxonomy places the organism in Eukaryota, Metazoa, Arthropoda, Insecta, Orthoptera, Acrididae.